This is a long non-coding RNA of Prionailurus viverrinus (fishing cat), 525 nucleotides long. RefSeq lists it as uncharacterized. The record is from RefSeq and is a predicted model, not a curated record. The transcript has 3 exons. NCBI's taxonomy places the organism in Eukaryota, Metazoa, Chordata, Mammalia, Carnivora, Felidae.
UCAAGGCCAUCCUACACUAUAAAAUGAAGAUAGUUAUUGAUUCCCUCCCGAACAUCCUUCCUUCCUCUAUGAUUCACAUAUACAAUAUUCGCUCGGGACCACAGAGUUCCUCCAGGAGUGCUAAUAACAAUAUGCCUGACCACAGUAACAAACACUCACGCGGGAGUGUUAUUAGACCUUGGGCACCGUUCUAAGUAUAUCUGACUUUCACAGAAGCACCCUGAGAUUCUACGCUCUCUGGGUGCUAAUUUGCCCUUGAGAUAUCCUACCAGGCUUACGCCAAGCUCAACGGACCGAAGCCUCCCUUGUCCCAAGUUGGACCUACCCGUGGCGGCACGUUUUGCUCGGAAGUUGAGGAAACGUGGAGCUAUUGCCAUCACUGGCAAAUCAGCUUUCGAUGAAAUAUUCAAGACAGCUAGAAGCUAAGCAGGAUAACUGAAUUCACAACCAUUUGCUACAGGACCAUAAUUUAAUGGCAGCAUUAUAAUUUGCUAAAUACCAUUACCAUGGCACCGGGUCCUAUUA